UCUGGGGAUUUGGAGCCUCUCCUCAGUCUCCUCCCAACCCUGUUCCCCUCAUUGCCAAGUUAGCUGGAAUUUCUGCACAGGGAAUUUUCUUCUCACGUGGGCUCGUAGGCAGGGUGACUGAGGAAGAUCUUUCUGAUAAAUAUUAACCUUUAUAAGUGUGGCCAAACAAACAGCCUGGCAUGUGAGUCCUGCUGGGCUUCCAGGAACUGGGCUUUGCUGGAAAAGCCAGGAUGGGCACUGCACAGAGAGCACUCUCAAACCACCUGUGGCUUCAUCACAAGGUAUUUCACCUUUUCAGCUAAUUAACAUUAAGAGGAUGAAAAUCCCUUUUGGUUUCCCCUGAAGUUUCCAAAGCCCAGAGAGAGAAGAGGAAGAGUUGGCAGCGUGAGCUUCUUCCUGAUGAUUUGAAAGACUCUUUCCUCAUAAACUGUGGCAGAGGAGAGCACACAGUAAGAUCUAAAAGUAGAUGCAGUGAUAUCCCAGGAUGACUCAGAUAUUUAGUACACAGAAGAUAAUUUUCCAAAUGCUACAAGCACUAUAUAAAAAGCCAAGCCCGUGCUGCUCUCCACGUCAGGAUUCCCCCUGCUGUUAGAUGCUUAAACCCAGAUAAAAUCCCACAAAACCACUGGCUGGUUUAAAGUGCUGAGGUGGGUUAGGUCAGUGCCAUGGGCUCCUUGGCCACCUGUAACCACAGCCAGGUGUGGCAAUGACUCAGGCUGGUGGUGGUGAUGCCUCAAACCCUGCAGGAUUGGCAGCAGGAGCUGACAUGCUCCCAACCUGCUCGCUGCAGGAGCAGCUGGGACACGUCUCUCCUCAUCCCAGGAGAGCUGGCCCAGCUGUAAAGCUUGGAAUGAGGUCCGGGAAUUACUAACGUGAAUGGAAGGAGUCAGAGGGAGUUUUUAUAGUGAGGUCACAUAGCUGGCUCAUGCCAGGGGUGGAGAGCCAGGAUUGAUAGAGGAAAGAAAGCGGGGGAAUUUCUGAGGUGUGCAGAGAGCUGUGAGGGGAUGAAACCAGGGCAAGUGCACAAUUCAUCUUGUUGAAACAGCCUGCAGCCCUCCUGGCCCGAGGCUGCCAACUUGUCACGCACAAGGCAGGUAAAUUCAAUCUUCUGCCUGCAGAUUUUGCCACCCUCCCGUGUUGCUCAGCAGCUGACAAUGGGCUGACCCCUCCAGGUUCUGUGGGAGAGUGCUCAGGGAGUGCUAAUGCACACCAAACUUGUUUGCAUUCUCCCAUCAUUAUUCCAGAGGUGGCAAUUUUAUCAUAUUUUGAAGCACACUUCUGUUUUCCCACUGAUGGUAAUAUUUUCCUUUCUGGCUGUAAAUCUGUGUGAUGUGCCCAGCCUGUCCCUGCUGGGACUCAUCCCUCACAGCAGUCACCCAACAGUGGGACCAAAUUUCCUGGUGCCAGGGCCAGAGGGGGACAGUGCCAGCCCUGUUGGAGAAGCAGAGGUGAGCCUGAGGAAGUCAAUCCUGCCCUAGAGCAGGAGCAGAGGGGGCUGAGAUGUGCAGGGCAGAGAACAGGGAUGUUGGGACAUCUUUUCCCACAGGGUCUCACCUGAUUCCCUGCCUUCAUUUCUACCCCUCCUCAAUUUAUAAUUUUUAUUCCUUUCUGUGUUCAAGGAGCUUCCUAAGAAUGGAAAGUCUACAAAAGCAAGCAAGAGAAGGCACAGCAGGUGACCUGUCCCAGAUGGAGCCAGGAGGACACGGGGGAACUGAGGAGCCCCAGGAUGAGCUGGUGUCACUUUGGCCAGGACCCGUUCCCAGACUCAGGAUCCAGUCCCUGACUCUGCUGGUGGUGGAGAAAAUCCUGUUAAAUCCAGGUCCUGAACUUCUGUGAGUCUGCCAGGAGGCUGCUGGGAACAACAACACAAAUCAUAACCCCCCAGUAAAUCAGUGGAUUACCUUCCCCACAUAAAUCACAGUGUCACCACAAAAAUCUUACAGUUACAACAAAAGCAAACCUGCUCAACUAAAGUCUGGACUUGCACUUCCCUGAGCACUCAGUGUUCAUUUUUCCCUCAGAAGCCUUGGACAAGCCAUUUAAGCACUUCAGCUGGCCACCAGCUCACCUUCCCUCCUCUCUGCAAAGACAUUUUGGACCUUCAACAAGUCUCAAAUAUGUGUUUGGAACCUUCAGUCAGGCCCACAUACAUGUUUUGGACAAAUGUUUACACAAAUG
Molecule: long non-coding RNA, 2178 nt
Organism: Melospiza melodia melodia
Lineage: Eukaryota; Metazoa; Chordata; Aves; Passeriformes; Passerellidae
Exons: 3
Source: RefSeq, a predicted model, not a curated record